GUGGGGAAUCUUCGGCAAUGGGGGCAACCCUGACCGAGCAACGCCGCGUGAGUGAAGAAGGUUUUCGGAUCGUAAAACUCUGUUGUUAGAGAAGAACGUUAAGUAGAGUGGAAAAUUACUUAAGUGACGGUAUCUAACCAGAAAGGGACGGCUAACUACGUGCCAGCAGCCGCGGUAAUACGUAGGUGGCAAGCGUUGUCCGGAUUUAUUGGGCGUAAAGCGAGCGCAGGUGGUUUCUUAAGUCUGAUGUAAAAGGCAGUGGCUCAACCAUUGUAUGCAUUGGAAACUGGUAGACUUGAGUGCAGGAGAGGAGAGUGGAAUUCCAUGUGUAGCGGUGAAAUGCGUAGAUAUAUGGAGGAACACCGGUGGCGAAAGCGGCUCUCUGGCCUGUAACUGACACUGAGGCUCGAAAGCGUGGGGAGCAAACAGGAUUAGAUACCCUGGUAGUCC
RNAcentral lists this ribosomal RNA (450 nucleotides) under uncultured bacterium. RNAcentral describes it as "partial 16S ribosomal RNA". It matches the Rfam family "Bacterial small subunit ribosomal RNA", at positions 354 to 796 of the family's 1533-position model. The record is from RNAcentral.